GUGCCGGUGGCACAUAAAAAGCACCAUCCAAGUGUGGUCAAUACCAGUCCAGCCUGACUGGCCCAUGUGCUGGUGGCAUGUAAAAAGCACCCACUAAACUCUCAGAGUUGUUGGCAUUAGGAACAGCAUGACACUGUAAAAACCUUGCCAGAUCAGACUGGAGCCUGG
Octopus sinensis (East Asian common octopus) is the source of this 168-nucleotide long non-coding RNA. RefSeq lists it as uncharacterized. The transcript has 3 exons. Lineage: Eukaryota; Metazoa; Mollusca; Cephalopoda; Octopoda; Octopodidae. The record is from RefSeq and is a predicted model, not a curated record.